This 842-nucleotide ribosomal RNA is filed under the name uncultured bacterium. RNAcentral's name for it is "bacterial SSU rRNA". It matches the Rfam family "Bacterial small subunit ribosomal RNA", at positions 61 to 949 of the family's 1533-position model. The record is from RNAcentral.
GUCGAACGGAGUAGCAAUACUUAGUGGCAGACGGGUGAGUAACAUGUGGGUAUCUUCCCUUUGGUGAGGAAUAACACGAGGAAACUUGUGUUAAUACCUCAUAAGUCUUUACGGAGAAAGCUUUAUGCGCCAUUGGAUGAGCCCGCACUUGAUUAGUUUGUUGGUGGGGUAAUGGCCUACCAAGACUUUGAUCAAUAGUUGAUUUGAGAGGAUGAUCAGCCACAUUGGGACUGAGACACGGCCCAAACUCCUACGGGAGGCAGCAGUAGGGAAUCUUGCACAAUGGGGGAAACCUUGAUGCAGCGAUGCCGCGUGAGUGAAGAAGGCCUUUGGGUUGUAAAGCUCUUUCGUCGGGGAAGAAAAUGACUGUACCCGAAUAAGAAGGUCCGGCUAACUUCGUGCCAGCAGCCGCGGUAAUACGAAGGGACCUAGCGUAGUUCGGAAUUACUGGGCUUAAAGAGUUCGUAGGUGGUUAAAAAAGUUGGUGGUGAAAUCCCAGAGCUUAACUCUGGAACUGCCAUCAAAACUUUUUAGCUAGAGUAUGAUAGAGGAAAGCAGAAUUUCUAGUGUAGAGGUGAAAUUCGUAGAUAUUAGAAAGAAUACCAAUUGCGAANGCAGCUUUCUGGAUCAUUACUGACACUGAGGAACGAAAGCAUGGGUAGCGAAGAGGAUUAGAUACCCUCGUAGUCCAUGCCGUAAACGAUGUGUGUUCGACGUUGGAAAUUUAUUUUUCAGUGUCUCAGCGAAAGCNAUAAACACACCGCCNGGGGAGUACNACCGCANNGUUAAAACUCAAAUGAANUNGANNGGNACCCGCACANGUAGUGGANCAUGUGGUUUAA